Molecule: ribosomal RNA, 253 nt
Filed under: uncultured bacterium
Lineage: Bacteria
Description: partial 16S ribosomal RNA
Rfam family: Bacterial small subunit ribosomal RNA
Source: RNAcentral
UACGGGGGGAGCAAGCGUUGUUCGGAUUUACUGGGCGUAAAGGGCGCGUAGGCGGCCACCGCAAGUCGACUGUGAAAUCUCCGGGCUUAACCCGGAAAGGUCAGCCGAUACUGCGGGGCUAGAGUGCAGAAGGGGCAACUGGAAUUCUGCGGUGUAGCGGAUGAAUGCGUAGAUAUCGAGAGACACCUGCGGCGAAGGCGGGUUGCUGGGCUGACACUGACGCUGAUGCGCGAAAGCCAGGGGAGCGAACGGG